GGGCCUGUAGCUCAGCGGUAGAGCGGGCGGCUCAUAACCGCUUGGUCGCAGGUUCGAAUCCUGCCAGGCCCACCA
RNAcentral lists this transfer RNA (75 nucleotides) under Pseudomonadota bacterium. RNAcentral's name for it is "tRNA-Ile". It matches the Rfam family "tRNA". From Rfam's summary of the family: Transfer RNA (tRNA) molecules are approximately 80 nucleotides in length. Their secondary structure includes four short double-helical elements and three loops (D, anti-codon, and T loops). Further hydrogen bonds mediate the characteristic L-shaped molecular structure. tRNAs have two regions of fundamental functional importance: the anti-codon, which is responsible for specific mRNA codon recognition, and the 3' end, to which the tRNAs corresponding amino acid is attached (by aminoacyl-tRNA synthetases). tRNAs cope with the degeneracy of the genetic code in two manners: having more than one tRNA (with a specific anti-codon) for a particular amino acid; and 'wobble' base-pairing, i.e. permitting non-standard base-pairing at the 3rd anti-codon position. Lineage: Bacteria; Pseudomonadati; Pseudomonadota. The record is from RNAcentral. RNAcentral also lists the same sequence under 1 other name.